ACCAGGAGCGAACCAUGAUGCCAGGUAGGAGGGGCUGGCUAGGCCCUGCGAGCGCGUCCCUUUCCUGCUGGGCAGAGGCCCUCCACAUGGGGCCACGCGGGCCGGGCACAGGAGGGCAGUCAGAUGGGCAGGGCCUGAGAGCCUCCCUCCUCUCCCUAGGUCCCUAAUCAUGGACUCCCCAAGAGCUGGCACCCACCAGGGCCCCCUAGAUGCAGAGACAGAGGUCGGUGCUGACCGCUGCACGUCGACUGCCUACCAGGAGCAGAGGCCCCAGGUGGAGCAAGUUGGCAAACAGGCUCCUCUCUCCCCAGGGCUGCUGGCAAUGGGGGGGCCUGGCCCCGGCCCCUGUGAGGACCCCGCGGGUGCUGGGGUAAGAGGCUCUAGACCCUUCACCUGUCAGUCACCUGAGGGAGGCUGAGGCCAAGCCCCAUCCCUCAGAAUCAAGGCUUGCAAGCCCCCCUCACCUGCCCAGUCUCUGUCCACACCCCUCGGGCUGAAGACGGCCCUGACCAGGCCCUGGGCCUCAGCGACCACCCCUCCCCCUCCUGCCUGGAUCCAGGGAGCAGGUGCAGGGGGCUCCGAGCCCCUGGUGACUGUCACCGUGCAGUGCGCCUUCACGGUGGCCCUGAGGGCACGAAGAGGAGCCGACCUGUCCAGCCUGCGGGCACUGCUGGGCCAAGCCCUCCCUCACCAGGCCCAGCUUGGGCAACUCAGGUGGGCCAGAAAGCCCCUGGUGGCUGCGGUGGAGCUGGGCACCGCCCCGACUGAGGCAGCUGCUGGAAGAGGGGGUGGCAGAGGUCACUGCCCUCCCUGCAGGCCCCACCCAGGAGGCCCCCUCUGAGGAAUCUCUUUGCAGUUACCUAGCCCCAGGUGAGGAUGGGCACUGGGUCCCCAUCCCCGAGGAGGAGUUGCUGCAGAGGGCCUGGCAGGACGCAGCUGCCUGCCCCAGGGGGCUGCAGCUGCAGUGCAGGGGAGCCGGGGGUCGGCCGGUCCUCUACCAGGUGGUGGCCCAGCACAGCUACUCCGCCCAGGGGCCAGAGGACCUGGGCUUCCGACAGGGGGACACGGUGGACGUCCUGUGUGAAGUGGACCAGGCAUGGCUGGAGGGCCACUGUGACGGCCGCAUCGGCAUCUUCCCCAAGUGCUUCGUGGUCCCUGCCGGCCCUCGGAUGUCAGGAGCCCCCGGCCGCCUGCCCCGAUCCCAGCAGGGAGAUCAGCCCUAACGAUGCUGUGUCCAUGAUGCUUUUAAUAAAAAC
Molecule: long non-coding RNA, 1256 nt
Filed under: Pan troglodytes (chimpanzee)
Lineage: Eukaryota; Metazoa; Chordata; Mammalia; Primates; Hominidae
Description: long non-coding RNA NONPTRT017701
Source: RNAcentral